CAGUCGCCGCGGGAAUACGGAGGGAGCUAGCGUUGUUCGGAAUCACUGGGCGUAAAGCGCACGUAGGCGGCUAUUCAAGUCAGGGGUGAAAGCCCGGGGCUCAACCCCGGAACUGCCUUUGAAACUAGAUAGCUUGAAUCUUGGAGAGGCGAGUGGAAUUCCGAGUGUAGAGGUGAAAUUCGUGGAUAUUCGGAAGAACACCAGUGGCGAAGGCGACUCGCUGGACAAGUAUUGACGCUGAGGUGCGAAAGCGUGGGGAGCAAACAGGAUUAGAUACCCCAGUAGUCCCUGUCUCUUAUAC
Molecule: ribosomal RNA, 301 nt
Filed under: uncultured bacterium
Lineage: Bacteria
Description: partial 16S ribosomal RNA
Rfam family: Bacterial small subunit ribosomal RNA
Source: RNAcentral